RNAcentral lists this ribosomal RNA (380 nucleotides) under uncultured bacterium. RNAcentral describes it as "bacterial SSU rRNA". It matches the Rfam family "Bacterial small subunit ribosomal RNA", at positions 790 to 1167 of the family's 1533-position model. The record is from RNAcentral.
GUAGUCCACGCCCUAAACGAUGGAUACUAGGCGUAAGAGGUAUCGACCCCUCUUGUGCCGCAGCUAACGCACUAAGUAUCCCGCCUGGGGAGUACGGCCGCAAGGUUGAAACUCAAAUGAAUUGACGGGGACCCGCACAAGCGGUGGAGCAUGUGGAUUAAUUCGAUACUAACCGAAGAACCUUACCCAGGUUUGACAUCGAUUGUAAGCCCGAGAGAUCGGGCCCUCCCCCACAAGGGGACAUGAAGACACUUGUUGCAUGGCUGUCGUCAGCUCGUGCCGUGAGGUGUGCGGUUAAGUCCGUAAACGAGCGCAACCCUCGUCCUAUGUUGCCAGCGAGAAAGUCGGGAACUCAUAGGAGACCGCCGGUGUAAGCCGGA